Molecule: ribosomal RNA, 468 nt
Filed under: uncultured bacterium
Lineage: Bacteria
Description: partial 16S ribosomal RNA
Rfam family: Bacterial small subunit ribosomal RNA
Source: RNAcentral
GACGAACGCUGGCGGCGUGCUUAACACAUGCAAGUCGAACGGAAAGGCCCUGCUUUUGUGGGGUGCUCGAGUGGCGAACGGGUGAGUAACACGUGAGUAACCUGCCCUUGACUUUGGGAUAACUUCAGGAAACUGGGGCUAAUACCGGAUAGGAGCUCCUGCUGCAUGGUGGGGGUUGGAAAGUUUCGGCGGUUGGGGAUGGACUCGCGGCUUAUCAGCUUGUUGGUGGGGUAGUGGCUUACCAAGGCUUUGACGGGUAGCCGGCCUGAGAGGGUGACCGGCCAAAUUGGGACUGAGAUCCGGCCCAGCCUCCAACGGGAGGCAGCAGUGGGGAAUAUUGCACAAUGGGCGGAAGCCUGAUGCAGCAACGCCGCGUGCGGGAUGACGGCCUUCGGGUUGUAAACCGCUUUCGCCUGUGACGAAGCGUGAGUGACGGUAAUGGGUAAAGAAGCACCGGCUAACUACGUG